AUUGAACGCUGGCGGCAGGCUUAACACAUGCAAGUCGAGCGGGGGAAGGUAGCUUGCUACCGGACCUAGCGGCGGACGGGUGAGUAAUGCUUAGGAAUCUGCCUAUUAGUGGGGGACAACAUCUCGAAAGGGAUGCUAAUACCGCAUACGUCCUACGGGAGAAAGCAGGGGAUCUUCGGACCUUGCGCUAAUAGAUGAGCCUAAGUCGGAUUAGCUAGUUGGGGGGGUAAAGGCCUACCAAGGCGACGAUCUGUAGCGGGUCUGAGAGGAUGCACCGCCACACUGGGACGGAGACGCGGCCCAGACUCCUACGGGAGGCAGCAGUGGGGAAUAUUGGACAAUGGGGGGAACCCUGAUCCAGCCAUGCCGCGUGUGUGAAGAAGGCCUUAUGGUUGUAAAGCACUUUAAGCGAGGAGGAGGCUACUCUAGUUAAUACCUAGGGAUAGUGGACGUUACUCGCAGAAUAAGCACCGGCUAACUCUGUGCCAGCCGCCGCAGUAA
Molecule: ribosomal RNA, 501 nt
Filed under: uncultured bacterium
Lineage: Bacteria
Description: partial 16S ribosomal RNA
Rfam family: Bacterial small subunit ribosomal RNA
Source: RNAcentral